UCUUUAGUUUUUGUUUUUGACUGGUUAAUAUAGACCAAAAUUAUAGAGUUGGUAUGUUAAUAAUCUUAGUAUGCUUUUAUUUUCAAAUUGACAAUAAUGUAAAUAGGCCUGGAUAUGAAUGGGGGUUAUAGCGUUCUAAUCCUAUAUUUAGCUAUUGUUGGUAUGGUGGAAAAGAUUGUACACUACUGAUGUUUACUUAUGUGAUGUACCUUUGUCACUAUUAUUAGCUCUUG
Molecule: long non-coding RNA, 233 nt
Filed under: Panax ginseng (ginseng)
Lineage: Eukaryota; Viridiplantae; Streptophyta; Magnoliopsida; Apiales; Araliaceae
Description: long non-coding RNA (PGIN_LNC001561)
Source: RNAcentral